This 425-nucleotide ribosomal RNA is filed under the name uncultured bacterium. RNAcentral describes it as "partial 16S ribosomal RNA". It matches the Rfam family "Bacterial small subunit ribosomal RNA", at positions 354 to 796 of the family's 1533-position model. The record is from RNAcentral.
GUGGGGAAUAUUGGACAAUGGGCGCAAGCCUGAUCCAGCCAUGCCGCGUGAGUGAUGAAGGCCCUAGGGUUGUAAAGCUCUUUCACCGGAGAAGAUAAUGACGGUAUCCGGCGAAGAAGCCCCGGCUAACUUCGUGCCAGCAGCCGCGGUAAUACGAAGGGGGCUAGCGUUGUUCGGAUUUACUGGGCGUAAAGCGCACGUAGGCGGAUUGGUCAGUUAGAGGUGAAAUCCUGGAGCUCAACUCCAGAACUGCCUUUAAUACUGCCAGUCUAGAGUCCAGAAGAGGUGAGUGUAACUCCGAGUGUAGAGGUGGAAUUCGUAGAUAUUAGGAAGAACACCAGUGGCGGAGGCGGCUCACUGGUCUGGUACUGACGCUGAGGUGCGAAAGCGUGGGGAGCAAACAGGAUUAGAUACCCUAGUAGUCC